Molecule: transfer RNA, 72 nt
Filed under: Paramuricea clavata
Lineage: Eukaryota; Metazoa; Cnidaria; Anthozoa; Malacalcyonacea; Plexauridae
Rfam family: tRNA
About the family: Transfer RNA (tRNA) molecules are approximately 80 nucleotides in length.
Source: Rfam by way of RNAcentral
GCCCGGCUAGCUCAGUCGGUAGAGCAUGAGACUCUUAAUCUCAGCGUCGUGGGUUCGACCCCACGUUGGGCG